GGUACGGUGCGCGUGGCCCGCCAUCGAAAGGUGUGCGAGUGUCGCUUGUGCGUCUACCAUCUCUUGUAGCUAGGGUGUCUCUCUCCAGGGGCAUCUGAACUACAUCGUUUACUUUGAAGAAAUUAGAGUGUUCAAAGCGGGCUUGCGCAUGAAUAUAUUAGCAUGGAAUAAUAAUUUAGGACUUUGAUCCUAUUUUGUUGGUUUUAAGGAUUAAAGUA
Molecule: ribosomal RNA, 218 nt
Filed under: uncultured fungus
Lineage: Eukaryota; Fungi
Description: partial small subunit ribosomal RNA
Rfam family: Eukaryotic small subunit ribosomal RNA (bases 98-218)
Source: RNAcentral